This is a long non-coding RNA of Anarrhichthys ocellatus (wolf-eel), 621 nucleotides long. RefSeq lists it as uncharacterized. The transcript has 3 exons. The record is from RefSeq and is a predicted model, not a curated record. Lineage: Eukaryota; Metazoa; Chordata; Actinopteri; Perciformes; Anarhichadidae.
GGUCUCUUCCUUGGCUGACACGGCUGCUGUUUAGUUUAGUUUGUUUCAGACAUAUGACUGAUUACUGACUCUACUUGUUUGUUUUGUUUAGUUAAUGUUGUCCUUCAAAUAAAUGUGUUUUAUUUUGAGCCAGGUUGUAACACAAUAUAAGGCGAUGAAAGCCCAAGAAAACGUUGAUUGUGAGUCUGGCUGUAUGAAAAUAUUCUGACAUCUCGGCGGCCUUUCAGGAACGGUAUCCUGCCAAUGAAGACUCUGAAAAGGAUGUGCAGCAUGGCGUCGUGCAGAGUCAGGUAGAACAUUGACGACUGAACUUCGUCGUCAAAGAAGCAACAGUCAUGCAGUUUCUCCAGGAUGUAAGCUACAGCAGGAGUCCCUUCAGAGCGGAGAUGUCCAGAAAGGAGACGGCGGCAAAGUCCAGGACCAGGCUGUGGACGUCCACUCUGGGAACAACGAUGUUGGAGGGAAGCUCGGCGCUCCAGUCGAUCCGGGCCGGAAGGUCCUUGAAGUCAGUGGGCAGGUCCAGCUCCUCCAUGUCGCUCUUAUCCUCUGACUCCUUGAUGGGUUGACCUGAGGUGUUCAGGAAGCCUUUCUGUAAUGGAAUGAAAUACAGUUCGUACACUU